Molecule: long non-coding RNA, 1178 nt
Filed under: Olea europaea subsp. europaea
Lineage: Eukaryota; Viridiplantae; Streptophyta; Magnoliopsida; Lamiales; Oleaceae
Source: RNAcentral
CCUGACUUCUACCAAUACACCCAAUCCUCUAGGUUUUUUCCAUCGAACACAAGUAUAGUAUUGCCUGCAUUAUAACUCAAAUCGGCUUAGUUUAUCAUGGUUUCCGCAAUUUCUGAAUCAUCUUCUCCAUCAUUAGUACUUUCAAUCAAAUUCUAUCCCUGAGUUGCUCCAUAGUUGUCUACAUUGCUUCUCCCAGGUGUGCUCUGAACCAAUUUGAUAGGUACAAACAAAACACGGGUUAUGAAUUACUGUCUCAAAUUACAAGCUGAAUAUAAAGAAUUACAAUAAAUUGCUGAGCAAUUGAGAAGCACAACUCUCUGUUACCAUUUGAUAGGAUCCUAAAUCUGAUGCUGACAAACAAGGCAAUUACAGAAAUGAUGCUGGGUUUGUAUAGCAGUUGUGUUUGUAUAUUUGUUUAUAAUUCUGUAAAGGAUGAAGAAAGCAGAAUAUCGAGAAAAUCAUCCUUUUUUUUGGUAUUCGAUUGAAUACAUACUGAAAAUGUAAACAAUUACAGAUAAAUGUGAGCAUUCAAGAGGAUCACUCUCUCCCACCAAUUUCCUCUUGAUUUCAGCCUAAUGACAAACAAACACCCUACUAAAUCCCCAUACUUGUCCCCUACUUUAACUAACUAAAUGGAAUUAUCCAUGUGCCUUUGGAGCCUAUCAUGAUGCUAGUAACUUUUUUUCUCAGACUUGGCUAUGGGUACAAAUCUGGGAGGGAUCCCUUUCUCUUUAAAAUUUAGACUACAUGGAUACGGCUGAAAUUGAUCCAACUUUUGGACAUGGGUAAGUCUUAUAAGCACAUAUUUUCUAUUAGAAUAUUAAUAUUUUAGAUGCAUUUUUAGGGAUAUAUUUUGACUGUAAACUUCAAGACAAAUAGACAACAAUUUUUUUGCAAGUUACUCUUGCUGAUUGAAUUAACCCAUUGGGGGUUGAUGUGUAGCAUCGAGGGGCUGGUUCGACUUGGUGGCUUGAAAAAUCACGGCUUUUUCAAUGACCUACUUUAUUUUAAAAUAGCUUUUAGUGCUUGAAACCCAUGAUGACCAGGCUUCUUUAGAAGCCUCUUUUUAUACUUUAUCAAUUAGGCACACAGUGUUUCACUUCAGCAGUUCCCGUUUGCUGGGUCUCUUUCUCCAACUCAUUUCUCAACCACGGCUUUCAUCUUCAUGCCAUAUACUC